Molecule: ribosomal RNA, 468 nt
Filed under: uncultured bacterium
Lineage: Bacteria
Description: partial 16S ribosomal RNA
Rfam family: Bacterial small subunit ribosomal RNA (bases 58-468)
Source: RNAcentral
GGGGGGGGGGGGGGGGGGGGGGGGGGGGGGGGGGGCGGGCGGGGGGGCCCGGGGGGGGGGGGGUGCUCGAGUGGCGAACGGGGGAGGAACACGUGAGUAACCUGCCCUUGACGUUGGGAUAACUUCCGGAAACUGGGGCUAAUACCGGAUAGGAGCUCCUGCUGCAUGGGGGGGGUUGGAAAGUUUCGGCGGUUGGGGAUGGACUCGCGGCUUAUCAGCUUGUUGGUGGGGUAGUGGCUUACCAAGGCUUUGACGGGUAGCCGGCCUGAGAGGGUGACCGGCCACAUUGGGACUGAGAUACGGCCCAGACUCCUACGGGAGGCAGCAGUGGGGAAUAUUGCACAAUGGGCGGAAGCCUGAUGCAGCAACGCCGCGUGCGGGAUGACGGCCUUCGGGUUGUAAACCGCUUUCGCCUGUGACGAAGCGUGAGUGACGGUAAUGGGUAAAGAAGCACCGGCUAACUACGUG